This 72-nucleotide transfer RNA is filed under the name Oryzias latipes (Japanese medaka). It matches the Rfam family "tRNA". Rfam says of the family: Transfer RNA (tRNA) molecules are approximately 80 nucleotides in length. The record is from Rfam by way of RNAcentral. Lineage: Eukaryota; Metazoa; Chordata; Actinopteri; Beloniformes; Adrianichthyidae.
GUGGCCGUGGUGCAGCAGUAGGGCGGUCGACCCAUGAUCGUUAGGUUGCAGGUUCAAUUCCUGCCCGGCACA